UACGUAGGGGGCGAGCGUUGUCCGGAAUCAUUGGGCGUAAAGCGCGCGUAGGCGGUUUUGUAAGUCGGGUGUGAAAUCCCCAAGCUUAACUUGGGAACUGCAUUCGAGACUGCAUAGCUAGAGUAUGGGAGAGGGAAGUGGAAUUCCAGGUGUAGCGGUGAAAUGCGUAGAUAUCUGGAGGAAUACCGGUGGCGAAGGCGGCAUCCUGGACCGGCAUUGACGCUGAGGAGCGAAAGCUAGGGGAGCAAACGGG
Molecule: ribosomal RNA, 253 nt
Filed under: uncultured bacterium
Lineage: Bacteria
Description: partial 16S ribosomal RNA
Rfam family: Bacterial small subunit ribosomal RNA
Source: RNAcentral